This 253-nucleotide ribosomal RNA is filed under the name uncultured bacterium. RNAcentral's name for it is "partial 16S ribosomal RNA". It matches the Rfam family "Bacterial small subunit ribosomal RNA", at positions 524 to 776 of the family's 1533-position model. The record is from RNAcentral.
UACGUAGGGGGCAAGCGUUAUCCGGAUUUACUGGGUGUAAAGGGAGCGUAGACGGCCAGACAAGUCUGAAGUGAAAAUCCAGCGCUUAACGCUGGAAAUGCUUUGGAAACUGCCGGGCUGGAGUGCAGGAGGGGCAGGCGGAAUUCCUAGUGUAGCGGUGAAAUGCGUAGAUAUUAGGAGGAACACCAGUGGCGAAGGCGGCCUGCUGGACUGCAACUGACGUUGAGGCUCGAAGGCGUGGGGAGCAAACAGG